UCCUAGGUAGUGUAAAAGGUUAAUAUGCUUGGCUGCUAACCAAAAGGUUGGUAGUUCAAGUCUACCCAGAGGUG
RNAcentral lists this transfer RNA (74 nucleotides) under Loxodonta africana (African savanna elephant). It matches the Rfam family "tRNA". From Rfam's summary of the family: Transfer RNA (tRNA) molecules are approximately 80 nucleotides in length. Their secondary structure includes four short double-helical elements and three loops (D, anti-codon, and T loops). Further hydrogen bonds mediate the characteristic L-shaped molecular structure. tRNAs have two regions of fundamental functional importance: the anti-codon, which is responsible for specific mRNA codon recognition, and the 3' end, to which the tRNAs corresponding amino acid is attached (by aminoacyl-tRNA synthetases). tRNAs cope with the degeneracy of the genetic code in two manners: having more than one tRNA (with a specific anti-codon) for a particular amino acid; and 'wobble' base-pairing, i.e. permitting non-standard base-pairing at the 3rd anti-codon position. The record is from Rfam by way of RNAcentral. Lineage: Eukaryota; Metazoa; Chordata; Mammalia; Proboscidea; Elephantidae.